Molecule: transfer RNA, 92 nt
Filed under: Vibrio coralliirubri
Lineage: Bacteria; Pseudomonadati; Pseudomonadota; Gammaproteobacteria; Vibrionales; Vibrionaceae
Description: tRNA-Ser
Rfam family: tRNA
About the family: Transfer RNA (tRNA) molecules are approximately 80 nucleotides in length. Their secondary structure includes four short double-helical elements and three loops (D, anti-codon, and T loops).
Source: RNAcentral
GGCGAAGUGGACGAGCGGCUUAAAUCAACUGCUUGGAAAGCAGUCGCGUGGUUCUAACCGCGCCGAGGGUUCGAAUCCCUCCUUCGCCGCCA